This 414-nucleotide ribosomal RNA is filed under the name uncultured bacterium. Its description in RNAcentral is "bacterial SSU rRNA". It matches the Rfam family "Bacterial small subunit ribosomal RNA", at positions 29 to 490 of the family's 1533-position model. The record is from RNAcentral.
AACGAACGCUGGCGGCAUGCCUAACACAUGCAAGUCGAGCGCCCGUAGCAAUACGGGAGCGGCGCACGGGUGAGUAACGCGUGGGAACCUGCCCAGAGGUCUGGGACAACCGCGGGAAACUGCGGCUGAUACCGGAUGAUUCCUGAGGGACAAAGAUUUAUCGCCUUUGGAGGGGCCCGCGUCGGAUUAGGUAGUUGGUGGGGUAACGGCUCACCAAGCCUAUGAUCCGUAACUGGUCUGAGAGGAUGACCAGUCACACUGGGACUGAGACACGGCCCAGACUCCUACGGGAGGCAGCAGUGGGGAGUAUUGGACAAUGGGGGCAACCUGAUCCAGCAAUGCCGCGUGGGUGAUGAAGGCCUCGGUUGUAAAGCCUUUCGGCGGGGACGAUGAUGACGGUACCCGCAGAAGAAG